Molecule: long non-coding RNA, 542 nt
Filed under: Dermacentor andersoni
Lineage: Eukaryota; Metazoa; Arthropoda; Arachnida; Ixodida; Ixodidae
Description: uncharacterized LOC126530972
Source: RNAcentral
ACUAUCCCUUUGCGCAUUCUGUUCUGGCGCUACAAAUCAACGCGCUUCCCUACCUCGCCGGAAUUUCUCUACUGAAAGCGUUCGUCGCCUCCAGACACACAUAUAAGGCGUCAUGGGACGGACAAAUUUUGUUGGGGCACUCGCCAAGGAAUGCUUCCGCAUCAAAAGACUGAUUCCAUCGAGCAUGGCCUCCAAGAACUGGCGGAGUGCGCAAUCUUGGAGGCCAUUGUUGAACAGUUCGUGGCAGUUCUCCCGUGACACGAGUAUAGUUCGACGCUUACUCGAAAAUUUAUGCCUGUUUUGGUUUGAAGCCUCGGAUAAUUGCCGUCGAUGGACAGUCACUGUGCAGGCGAGCAGAGAAGUGGACGAAGAGGAAGGACCGUAUUGACAGUGUUAAAAAUGUUUUCGCAUAUUUAAUUCAAAACGUAUUCACACGACCACGUCACACAACAUCCACUGAGUGCCUUGGAUACUGUCGCGUGAGAACGUGCCUCAUGAACUUCGAUGUAUAAACACCGGGCUGUCACGUCUCUUUAUUGUAA